UUCCUUUUUGCUUUCCCCAACUCUUUGAUUUCAUCUCCAACAGGGGCUGGUACCUUAUCACAAGGUAUUUCUUCUCGACUAUAUCCGCAAGGUGCUUCUUGAAUCGACAAAUUCCGCAUUUAUAAAUAUUCUUGCAGAAUCCAGAAUGAACAUAGUACUUUGGUUUUAUCAUUAUCUAGUGGAGUUCCAUACUUCCAUCCGAUAUGGGGAGUGCGAGUCAUUAUCGAGUGAACUAGAAAAGUUAAGAAUCAAAAACCAAAGACAGAGAAAAAGAGAGAUUAAGAGCCAGAGAAGAAAAUUGAGAAGAGAAAUUUGCACAUGUACGUAUAUAUCUGUAUGUAUAUACUGAGGAAAAAGACUUACGUUUAAAUGGGAGUUGUGAUGUUACUGGGUCUUAAAUGAAACACUUAUUAUCGUCUUUUUUGUUAUCAACGCCUUUUUCACUUUAGUAGCGCCUUUAAUGCCUUUUGGACGAUUUCAGAAUCGCAUUAAAUUACUUGAUUCGAAUCGCACACCUUGCGCCUAAGCGCGAAGCGCCAUUAAUCGCGCCUUUAUUAACCCUGGUUCCGCAUCUCAAAAUGAAGAAUACCCGCCUGCUGGAGGAUAUUUACAGCAGGCUAUACUAAAUAGUAUUUAACAAAUUACAUACAUUUCUGUACAUGGAUAAUCACCAAUUCCUUUUAAGUGUUUGUAAUCCACGAGCCCUGAAUUGCCCUGAAUUGGUUCAAAUUUCGAAUUAUAUGAUUUACUCACAUUCUUCAGAGUAAAUACCUGAUAUUUGACUUAUAACCUUUAAACAAAACACAAUCAAGCAUUUUCUUUUUGCUUGACC
Molecule: long non-coding RNA, 832 nt
Filed under: Daucus carota (carrot)
Lineage: Eukaryota; Viridiplantae; Streptophyta; Magnoliopsida; Apiales; Apiaceae
Description: long non-coding RNA (DCAR_LNC006157)
Source: RNAcentral